RNAcentral lists this transfer RNA (72 nucleotides) under Capra hircus (goat). It matches the Rfam family "tRNA". From Rfam's summary of the family: Transfer RNA (tRNA) molecules are approximately 80 nucleotides in length. Their secondary structure includes four short double-helical elements and three loops (D, anti-codon, and T loops). Further hydrogen bonds mediate the characteristic L-shaped molecular structure. tRNAs have two regions of fundamental functional importance: the anti-codon, which is responsible for specific mRNA codon recognition, and the 3' end, to which the tRNAs corresponding amino acid is attached (by aminoacyl-tRNA synthetases). tRNAs cope with the degeneracy of the genetic code in two manners: having more than one tRNA (with a specific anti-codon) for a particular amino acid; and 'wobble' base-pairing, i.e. permitting non-standard base-pairing at the 3rd anti-codon position. The record is from Rfam by way of RNAcentral. RNAcentral also lists the same sequence under 1 other name. Lineage: Eukaryota; Metazoa; Chordata; Mammalia; Artiodactyla; Bovidae.
UCCCUGGUGGCUCAGAUGGUAAAGCGUCUGCCUACAAUGCAGAAGACCCGGGUUCGAUCCCUGGGUUGGGAA